CCUACGGGUGGCUGCAGUGAGGAAUAUUGGUCAAUGGGCGAGAGCCUGAACCAGCCAAGUCGCGUGAGGGAGUACUGCCCUAUGGGUUGUAAACCUCUUUUGUCGGGGAGCAAAAGCCGGACGUGUCCGGCUGUGAGAGUACCCGAAGAAAAAGCAUCGGCUAACUCCGUGCCAGCAGCCGCGGUAAUACGGAGGAUGCGAGCGUUAUCCGGAUUUAUUGGGUUUAAGGGGUGCGCAGGCGGAUUUUUAAGUCAGCGGUCAAAUCGUGGGGCUCAACCCCAUCCAGCCGUGGAAACUGGGGAUCUAGAGUGUGCGAGAGGUAUGCGGAAUGCGUGGUGUAGCGGUGAAAUGCAUAGAUAUCACGCAGAACCCCGAUUGCGAAGGCAGCCUGCCAAGCCAUGACUGACGCUGAUGCACGAAAGCGUGGGGAUCAAACAGGAUUAGAUACCCGAGUAGUC
Molecule: ribosomal RNA, 458 nt
Filed under: uncultured bacterium
Lineage: Bacteria
Description: partial 16S ribosomal RNA
Rfam family: Bacterial small subunit ribosomal RNA
Source: RNAcentral